RNAcentral lists this ribosomal RNA (508 nucleotides) under uncultured bacterium. RNAcentral describes it as "partial 16S ribosomal RNA". It matches the Rfam family "Bacterial small subunit ribosomal RNA", at positions 30 to 523 of the family's 1533-position model. The record is from RNAcentral.
AUUGAACGCUGGCGGCAUGCCUUACACAUGCAAGUCGAACGGCAGCGGGGGAGAAGCUUGCUUUUCCUGCCGGCGAGUGGCGAACGGGUGAGUAAUACAUCGGAACGUGCCCUGUAGUGGGGGAUAACUAGUCGAAAGAUUAGCUAAUACCGCAUACGACCUGAGGGUAAAAGUGGGGGACCGCAAGGCCUCAUGCUAUAGGAGCGGCCGAUGUCUGAUUAGCUAGUUGGUGGGGUAAAGGCCUACCAAGGCGACGAUCAGUAGCUGGUCUGAGAGGACGAUCAGCCACACUGGGACUGAGACACGGCCCAGACUCCUACGGGAGGCAGCAGUGGGGAGUUUUGGACAAUGGGCGAAAGCCUGAUCCAGCAAUGCCGCGUGUGUGAAGAAGGCCUUCGGGUUGUAACGCACUUUUGUCCGGAAAGAAAUGGCUCUGGUUAAUACCUGGGGUCGAUGACGGUACCGGAAGAAUAAGGACCGGCUAACUACGUGCCAGCCGCCGCGGUAA